Molecule: transfer RNA, 73 nt
Filed under: Recurvirostra avosetta (Pied Avocet)
Lineage: Eukaryota; Metazoa; Chordata; Aves; Charadriiformes; Recurvirostridae
Description: tRNA-Glu
Rfam family: tRNA
About the family: Transfer RNA (tRNA) molecules are approximately 80 nucleotides in length. Their secondary structure includes four short double-helical elements and three loops (D, anti-codon, and T loops).
Source: RNAcentral
GGUUCUUGUAGUUGAGGUUUAUCAACGAUGGCUUUUCAAGCCGUAGACCUUGGAGAAAAGCCAAGCAGGAAUU